AUUGAGUUAGUUUAAUUGUUAAAACAUCAGUCUCCAAAACUGAAAGAUUUUGGUUAGAAUCCAAAACUCAAUGCCA
This 76-nucleotide transfer RNA is filed under the name Caudoviricetes sp. RNAcentral's name for it is "tRNA-Trp". It matches the Rfam family "tRNA". From Rfam's summary of the family: Transfer RNA (tRNA) molecules are approximately 80 nucleotides in length. Their secondary structure includes four short double-helical elements and three loops (D, anti-codon, and T loops). Lineage: Duplodnaviria; Heunggongvirae; Uroviricota; Caudoviricetes. The record is from RNAcentral.